RNAcentral lists this ribosomal RNA (658 nucleotides) under uncultured bacterium. Its description in RNAcentral is "bacterial SSU rRNA". It matches the Rfam family "Bacterial small subunit ribosomal RNA", at positions 15 to 718 of the family's 1533-position model. The record is from RNAcentral.
GAUCAUGGCUCAGAACGUACGCUGGCGGCACGCCUAACACAUGCAAGUCGAACGAAGUAGCAAUACUUAGUGGCAGACGGGUGAGUAACAUGUAGGUAUCUACCCUUUGGCCUGGAAUAACACGAGGAAACUUGUGCUAAUACCGGAUAAGUCUUUACGGAGAAAGCUUUAUGCACCAUUGGAUGAGCCUGCACUUGAUUAGUUUGUUGGUAGGGUAAUGGCCUACCAAGACUAUGAUCAAUAGCUGAUUUGAGAGGAUGAUCAGCCACAUUGGGACUGAGACACGGCCCAAACUCCUACGGGAGGCAGCAGUGGGGAAUCUUGCACAAUGGAGGAAACUCUGAUGCAGCGAUGCCGCGUGAGUGAAGAAGGCCCUUGGGUUGUAAAGCUCUUUCGUCGGGGAAGAAAAUGACUGUACCCGAAUAAGAAGGUCCGGCUAACUUCGUGCCAGCAGCCGCGGUAAUACGAAGGGACCUAGCGUAGUUCGGAAUUACUGGGCUUAAAGAGUUCGUAGGUGGUUGAAAAAGUUGGUGGUGAAAUCCCAGAGCUUAACUCUGGAACUGCCAUCAAAACUUUUCAGCUAGAGUAUGAUAGAGGAAAGCAGAAUUUCUAGUGUAGAGGUGAAAUUCGUAGAUAUUAGAAAGAAUACCAAUUGCGA